This 1469-nucleotide ribosomal RNA is filed under the name metagenome. RNAcentral's name for it is "bacterial SSU rRNA". It matches the Rfam family "Bacterial small subunit ribosomal RNA". The record is from RNAcentral.
AGAGUUUGAUCCUGGCUCAGGACGAACGCUGGCGGCACGCCUAACACAUGCAAGUCGAACGGAGAUGAUUUGAGUUUACUUAGAUCAUCUUGGUGGCGGACGGGUGAGUAACACGUGAGCAACCUGCCUUUGAGAGAGGGAUAGCUUCUGGAAACGGAUGGUAAUACCUCAUAACAUGCAGAUACCGCAUGGUGACUGUAUCAAAGAUUUAUCACUCAAAGAUGGGCUCGCGUCUGAUUAGAUAGUUGGUGAGGUAACGGCUCACCAAGUCGACGAUCAGUAGCCGGACUGAGAGGUUGAACGGCCACAUUGGGACUGAGACACGGCCCAGACUCCUACGGGAGGCAGCAGUGGGGAAUAUUGCACAAUGGGGGAAACCCUGAUGCAGCGAUGCCGCGUGGAGGAAGAAGGUUUUCGGAUUGUAAACUCCUGUCUUAAAGGAAGAUAAUGACGGUACUCAACAAGGAAGUGACGGCUAACUACGUGCCAGCAGCCGCGGUAAAACGUAGGUCACAAGCGUUGUCCGGAAUUACUGGGUGUAAAGGGAGCGCAGGCGGGCGAUCAAGUUGGAAGUGAAAUCCAUGGGCUCAACCCAUGAACUGCUUUCAAAACUGAUUGUCUUGAGUAGUGCAGAGGUAGGCGGAAUUCCCGGUGUAGCGGUGGAAUGCGUAGAUAUCGGGAGGAACACCAGUGGCGAAGGCGGCCUACUGGGCACCAACUGACGCUGAGGCUCGAAAGUGUGGGUAGCAAACAGGAUUAGAUACCCUGGUAGUCCACACCGUAAACGAUGAUUACUAGGUGUUGGAGGAUUGACCCCUUCAGUGCCGCAGUUAACACAAUAAGUAAUCCACCUGGGGAGUACGACCGCAAGGUUGAAACUCAAAGGAAUUGACGGGGGCCCGCACAAGCAGUGGAGUAUGUGGUUUAAUUCGACGCAACGCGAAGAACCUUACCAAGUCUUGACAUCCUGCGACGAUGCUAGAAAUAGUAUUUUCCUUCGGGACGCAGAGACAGGUGGUGCAUGGUUGUCGUCAGCUCGUGCCGUGAGAUGUUGGGUUAAGUCCCGCAACGAGCGCAACCCUUAUGGUCAGUUACUACGCAAGAGGACUCUGGCCAGACUGCCGUUGACAAAACGGAGGAAGGUGGGGAUGACGUCAAAUCAUCAUGCCCUUUAUGACUUGGGCUACACACGUACUACAAUGGCGUUAAACAAAGAGAAGCAAGACCGCGAGGUGGAGCAAAACUCAGAAACAACGUCCCAGUUCGGACUGCAGGCUGCAACUCGCCUGCACGAAGUCGGAAUUGCUAGUAAUCGUGGAUCAGCAUGCCACGGUGAAUACGUUCCCGGGCCUUGUACACACCGCCCGUCACACCAUGAGAGCCGGGGGGACCCGAAGUCGGUAGUCUAACCGCAAGGAGGACGCCGCCGAAGGUAAAACUGGUGAUUGGGGUGAAGUCGUAACAAGGUA